Molecule: ribosomal RNA, 253 nt
Filed under: uncultured bacterium
Lineage: Bacteria
Description: partial 16S ribosomal RNA
Rfam family: Bacterial small subunit ribosomal RNA
Source: RNAcentral
UACGGAGGGGGCUAGCGUUGUUCGGAAUUACUGGGCGUAAAGCGCACGUAGGCGGCUUUGUAAGUUAGAGGUGAAAGCCCAGGGCUCAACCCUGGAAUUGCCUUUAAGACUGCAUCGCUUGAAUCAUGGAGAGGUGAGUGGAAUUCCGAGUGUAGAGGUGAAAUUCGUAGAUAUUCGGAAGAACACCAGUGGCGAAGGCGACUCACUGGACAUGUAUUGACGCUGAGGUGCGAAAGCGUGGGGAGCAAACGGG